This 375-nucleotide ribosomal RNA is filed under the name uncultured bacterium. Its description in RNAcentral is "bacterial SSU rRNA". It matches the Rfam family "Bacterial small subunit ribosomal RNA", at positions 524 to 898 of the family's 1533-position model. The record is from RNAcentral.
AACGUAGGGGGCUAGCGUUGCCCGGAUUCACUGGGCGUAAAGCGGGUGUAGGCGGUUCUUUAAGUCGGAUGUGAAAUCCAGCGGCCCAACCGCUGAAUUGCAUCCGAUACUGGGGAACUUGAGGACGGUAGAGGUCGGUGGAAUAUCCGGUGUACCGGUGAAAUGGACAGAUAUCGGAUAGAACACCAGUGGCGAAGGCGGCCGACUGGGCCGAUCCUGACGCUGAGACCCGAAAGCUAGGGUAGCGAACCGGAUUAGAUACCCGGGUAGUCCUAGCCGUAAACGGUGCGAACUAGGUGUGGGGGUCUUCACGAUCUCCGUGCCGAAGCUAACGCAUUAAGUUCGCCGCCUGGGGAGUACGGCCGCAAGGCUAAA